Molecule: ribosomal RNA, 253 nt
Filed under: uncultured bacterium
Lineage: Bacteria
Description: partial 16S ribosomal RNA
Rfam family: Bacterial small subunit ribosomal RNA
Source: RNAcentral
GACGAACCGAGCGAACGUUGUUCGGAAUCACUGGGCUUAAAGGGCGCGUAGGCGGGUGUGAAAGUCUGCGGUGAAAUCCUCCAGCUUAACUGGAGAAGUGCCGUGGAUACUGCACAUCUUGAGGAGGGUAGGGGCAUCUGGAACGGUCGGUGGAGCGGUGAAAUGCGUUGAUAUCGACCGGAACUCCGGUGGCGAAGGCGAGGUGCUGGACCCUUUCUGACGCUGAGGCGCGAAAGCCAGGGGAGCAAACGGG